This 503-nucleotide ribosomal RNA is filed under the name uncultured bacterium. Its description in RNAcentral is "partial 16S ribosomal RNA". It matches the Rfam family "Bacterial small subunit ribosomal RNA", at positions 30 to 523 of the family's 1533-position model. The record is from RNAcentral.
AUUGAACGCUGGCGGCAGGCUUAACACAUGCAAGUCGAGCGGGGUGAUGGUGCUUGCACUAUCACUUAGCGGCGGACGGGUGAGUAAUGCUUAGGAAUCUGCCUAUUAGUGGGGGACAACAUCUCGAAAGGGAUGCUAAUACCGCAUACGUCCUACGGGAGAAAGCAGGGGAUCACUUGUGACCUUGCGCUAAUAGAUGAGCCUAAGUCGGAUUAGCUAGUUGGUGGGGUAAAGGCCUACCAAGGCGACGAUCUGUAGCGGGUCUGAGAGGAGGAUCGGCCACACUGGGACUGGGACACGGCCCAGACUCCUACGGGAGGUAGCAGUGGGGAAUAUUGGACAAUGGGGGGAACCCUGAUCCAGCCAUGCCGCGUGUGUGAAGAAGGCCUUAUGGUUGUAAAGCACUUUAAGCGAGGAGGAGGCUCUUUUGGUUAAUACCCAAGAUGAGUGGACGUUACUCGCAGAAUAAGCACCGGCUAACACUGUGCCAGCCGCCGCAGUAA